This 73-nucleotide transfer RNA is filed under the name Escherichia coli. RNAcentral's name for it is "tRNA-Pro". It matches the Rfam family "tRNA". Rfam says of the family: Transfer RNA (tRNA) molecules are approximately 80 nucleotides in length. The record is from RNAcentral. RNAcentral also lists the same sequence under 15 other names. Lineage: Bacteria; Pseudomonadati; Pseudomonadota; Gammaproteobacteria; Enterobacterales; Enterobacteriaceae.
GGGAAGUAGCUCAGCUUGGUAGAGCACUUGGUUUGGGACCAAGGGGUCGCAGGUUCGAAUCCUGUCUUCCCGA